RNAcentral lists this ribosomal RNA (805 nucleotides) under Clathrina cf. hondurensis MI-2013. RNAcentral's name for it is "eukaryotic LSU rRNA". The stretch from base 301 to 454 matches the Rfam family "5.8S ribosomal RNA". Lineage: Eukaryota; Metazoa; Porifera; Calcarea; Clathrinida; Clathrinidae. The record is from RNAcentral.
UUCAUUUAGAGGAAGUAAAAGUCGUAACAAGGUUUCCGUAGGUGAACCUGCGGAAGGAUCAUUACCGAUUCUAAUACCUAACUCACUGUGAACUUGGUCGCUGCAAGCGUUCUCCUUUCGGGGUUGGCCGACUACUGGCCAUUAAAUCGGUUCUGGGGGGCUGUAACAGGCUCUUUAGACCCGGGCCCCGACUGGAGUUUUGCUCGCAGCGGUUUUUGAAACCUUUUUCAACCUUGCAACCUUGCAGACUGUACUGUCGGGCUUUCUAUCGAAAGCUUGUCUUGAUUCUGAAUCAUGGACAACUUUCAACGGUGGAUCUCUUGGCUCGUGGAUCGAUGAAGAACGCAGCAAAACGCGAUAUGUAGUGUGAAUUGCAGAAUUCAGUGAAUCAUCGARUCUUUGAACGCAAAUGGCGCUCUUGGGUAUUCCCAAGAGCAUGUCUGUCUCAGCGUCGUUUUCACCUCGAGCACGCCACGGCGUGGUGGUCAUGAGGCGUCUGGGAAGCCCUGGUAGCUCCCAGUCCCUUGAAAUGGAGUGGCCGGACAGUUGCGUGCCUUUCGGGUCGGUUCGCCCCGUUCUUCGCUCGCACGGCUGAUGGCGAGAUUCCUCGUAAUCUCCCUUGUCGUGUCGCAGCGUUCGGGACGAGCCGCACUCGGAUAUACGGCCGCGUGUGUCCGAAACAAGCCAGUUCUGGAAAACAACGCGUUUUUCUGUCUCUCUCGGAUGGAAAACAUCUUCGACCUGAGAUCAGGCAAGACUACCCGCUGAAUUUAAGCAUAUUAAUAAGCGGAGGAAAAGAAACCAA